CCUACGGGUGGCAGCAGUGGGGAAUAUUGCACAAUGGGGGAAACCCUGAUGCAGCGACGCCGCGUGAAGGAAGAAGUAUUUCGGUAUGUAAACUUCUAUCAGCAGGGAAGAAAAUGACGGUACCUGACUAAGAAGCCCCGGCUAACUACGUGCCAGCAGCCGCGGUAAUACGUAGGGGGCAAGCGUUAUCCGGAUUUACUGGGUGUAAAGGGAGCGUAGGCGGCGAUGCAAGUCAGAAGUGAAAGCCCGGGGCUCAACUCCGGGACUGCUUUUGAAACUGUGUUGCUAGAUUGCAGGAGAGGUAAGUGGAAUUCCUAGUGUAGCGGUGAAAUGCGUAGAUAUUAGGAGGAACACCAGUGGCGAAGGCGGCUUACUAAACUAUAACUGACACUGAAGCACGAAAGCGUGGGGAUCAAACAGGAUUAGAUACCCUGGUAGUC
RNAcentral lists this ribosomal RNA (440 nucleotides) under uncultured bacterium. Its description in RNAcentral is "partial 16S ribosomal RNA". It matches the Rfam family "Bacterial small subunit ribosomal RNA", at positions 338 to 795 of the family's 1533-position model. The record is from RNAcentral.